This 577-nucleotide transfer RNA is filed under the name uncultured Bartonella sp. Its description in RNAcentral is "partial 16S-23S ribosomal RNA intergenic spacer". The stretch from base 173 to 246 matches the Rfam family "tRNA". Lineage: Bacteria; Pseudomonadati; Pseudomonadota; Alphaproteobacteria; Hyphomicrobiales; Bartonellaceae. The record is from RNAcentral.
GGUAAAAAAGCGUUUAAGCAGAUAUAAAGCGUUUAAGAAACAUAUAAAGAAGGUGUUUAAGAAACAGGUAAAAGGUGUUUAAGAAACAUAUCUGUUUCUUAAACAUAUCUUUUUGUUUUCUUUUGUUUUCUUUUAUCUGUCCCGAGGAAGGUUUUUACCGAUUUACUCCUGAGGGCUUGUAGCUCAGUUGGUUAGAGCGCGCGCUUGAUAAGCGUGAGGUCGGAGGUUCAAGUCCUCCCAGGCCCACCAAUUUAUGAUUGCUGAUAAAUUUGCUGAUAAGUUUUUUGUGAAUGUUUUGAUGGUCUUUUAUCUUACGAUCUUUCACUUUUAUGUUGCAAUCUUUCAAAAGUAUUUGAACUGUUUUAGGGGCCGUAGCUCAGCUGGGAGAGCACCUGCUUUGCAAGCAGGGGGUCGUCGGUUCGAUCCCGUCCGGCUCCACCAUCUUUGGUUAUCAUCAUCGUUAAAGAACAAUGUUUUGCAAUAGAUCUGUAGAUCUUAAGUCUAUCAUCUAUUGCCUGUUCUAUUGAAAUUGUGAAGAGAAGAUAUAUUCAGACAUUACUGUUUUAUUCAGCUAUUG